GCCCGGGUAGCUCAAUUGGUCAGAGCGUGCGGCUUUUAAAUAGAGCCACCGCAAGGCUGGGGGUUCGAGACCCCCCUCGGGCG
This 83-nucleotide transfer RNA is filed under the name Hirsutella minnesotensis 3608. It matches the Rfam family "tRNA". From Rfam's summary of the family: Transfer RNA (tRNA) molecules are approximately 80 nucleotides in length. Lineage: Eukaryota; Fungi; Ascomycota; Sordariomycetes; Hypocreales; Ophiocordycipitaceae. The record is from Rfam by way of RNAcentral.